This 928-nucleotide ribosomal RNA is filed under the name Inocybe sp. ZT10031. RNAcentral's name for it is "eukaryotic LSU rRNA". It matches the Rfam family "Eukaryotic large subunit ribosomal RNA", at positions 31 to 939 of the family's 3401-position model. Lineage: Eukaryota; Fungi; Basidiomycota; Agaricomycetes; Agaricales; Inocybaceae. The record is from RNAcentral.
AACUUAAGCAUAUCAAUAAGCGGAGGAAAAGAAACUAACAAGGAUUCCCCUAGUAACUGCGAGUGAAGCGGGAAAAGCUCAAAUUUGAAAUCUGGCAGUCUUUUUGUCUGUCCGAGUUGUAAUCUAGAGAAGUGUUACCUGUACUGGACCGUGUAUAAGUCUUUUGGAAUGGAGCAUCAUAGAGGGUGAGAAUCCCGUCUUUGACACGGACUGCCUGUGCAUUAUGGUAUGCUCUCGAAGAGUCGAGUUGUUUGGGAAUGCAGCUCAAAAUGGGUGGUAAAUGCCAUCUAAAGCUAAAUAUUGGCGAGAGACCGAUAGCGAACAAGUACCGUGAGGGAAAGAUGAAAAGAACUUUGGAAAGAGAGUUAAACAGUACGUGAAAUUGCUGAAAGGGAAACGCUUGAAGUCAGUCGCAUCGGCUAGGAAUCAGUCUUGCUUUUGCUUGAUGUAUUUUCUGGUCGAUGGGUCAGCAUCAAUUUUGAUCACUUGAUAAAGUCUUUGGGAAUGUGGCAUCUUUGGAUGUGUUAUAGCCCAUCGUUGCAUAUGGUGAUUGGGAUUGAGGUACUCAGCACGCUGUAAAGCCGGGUUUUUUUUGACCACGUUCGUGCUUAGGAUGCUGGCAUAAUGGCUUUAAUCGACCCGUCUUGAAACACGGACCAAGGAGUCUAACAUGCCUGCGAGUGUUUGGGUGGAAAACCCAUACGCACAAUGAAAGUGAAAGUUGAGAUCCCUGUUAAAGGGGAGCAUCGACGCCUGGACCAGACCUUUUGUGACGGAUCCACGGUAGAGCAUGUAUGUUGGGACCCGAAAGAUGGUGAACUAUGCCUGAAUAGGGUGAAGCCAGAGGAAACUCUGGUGGAGGCUCGUAGCGAUUCUGACGUGCAAAUCGAUCGUCAAAUUUGGGUAUAGGGGCGAAAGACUAAUCGAA